This 429-nucleotide long non-coding RNA is filed under the name Olea europaea (common olive). RNAcentral's name for it is "long non-coding RNA (OEUR_LNC002660)". Lineage: Eukaryota; Viridiplantae; Streptophyta; Magnoliopsida; Lamiales; Oleaceae. The record is from RNAcentral.
AACAAGUUGUCCCAAUUCCACCCCCCAAAGAGAAACCCUCCUCACCCGUGACUUUGCUUUUCCUCACACCGUCUCCAUCAAUUCUUCUUCAAGAAAUCCUCAGCCACAACUCCUAAAUUCUUGUUGCUUCAACAACCUUAUCUGGUGCAUUAGUUGCAUAAUUCAUUUAAAGGGUUUUGUCGAGAUCGGGCUUUGCAAUGAUGGCUAUAUCAUUAUUAAGGGGUAUGCAAUAAUGAUUUUAUCGUUAUUAAUGUCUUUGCAGUGAUGACCUUUGCUUCAUAAUUCCUUUAAUGGGAUUUUCCAAAAUAUCCUGUCUUUGCCUUUUUCAUUAGACAAAGGCCAAAAAAGCAAAUGGCUCUAUAAGGACAGAAGGUGAAGAUGCAUAGGUGUGGUUUAUGUGAUUUUCAUGUUUGGCAACUUGGUUUGUUA